This 75-nucleotide transfer RNA is filed under the name Prevotella sp. Its description in RNAcentral is "tRNA-Val". It matches the Rfam family "tRNA". Rfam says of the family: Transfer RNA (tRNA) molecules are approximately 80 nucleotides in length. Their secondary structure includes four short double-helical elements and three loops (D, anti-codon, and T loops). RNAcentral also lists the same sequence under 2 other names. The record is from RNAcentral. Lineage: Bacteria; Pseudomonadati; Bacteroidota; Bacteroidia; Bacteroidales; Prevotellaceae.
GGGCGCAUAGCUCAGCUGGUUUAGAGCAUCUGCCUUACAAGCAGAGGGUCGGGGGUUCGAAUCCCUCUACGCCCA